This 257-nucleotide ribosomal RNA is filed under the name uncultured bacterium. RNAcentral's name for it is "partial 16S ribosomal RNA". It matches the Rfam family "Bacterial small subunit ribosomal RNA", at positions 524 to 776 of the family's 1533-position model. The record is from RNAcentral.
UACGUAGGGCGCAAGCGUUUAUCCGGAAUUAUUGGGCGUAAAGAGCUCGUAGGCGGUUUGUCGUGUCUGCCGUGAAAGUCCGGGGCUCAACUCCGGAUCUGCGGUGGGUACGGGGCAGACUAGAGUGAUGUAGGGGGAGACUGGAAUUCCUGGUGUAGCGGUGAAAUGCGCAGAUAUCAGGAGGAACACCGAUGGCGAAGGCAGGUCUCUGGGCAUUAACUGACGCUGAGGAGCGAAAGCAUGGGGGAGCGAACAGG